GAUGAACGCUGGCGGCGUGCCUAAUACAUGCAAGUCGAGCGAACAGAUAAGGAGCUUGCUCCUUUGACGUUAGCGGCGGACGGGUGAGUAACACGUGGGUAACCUACCUAUAAGACUGGGAUAACUUCGGGAAACCGGAGCUAAUACCGGAUAAUAUUUCGAACCGCAUGGUUCGAUAGUGGAAGAUGGUUUUGCUAUCACUUAUAGAUGGACCCGCGCCGUAUUAGCUAGUUGGUAAGGUAACGGCUUACCAAGGCGACGAUACGUAGCCGACCUGAGAGGGUGAUCGGCCACACUGGAACUGAGACACGGUCCAGACUCCUACGGGAGGCAGCAGUAGGGAAUCUUCCGCAAAGGGCGAAAGCCUGACGGAGCAACGCCGCGUGAGUGAUGAAGGUCUUCGGAUCGUAAAACUCUGUUAUUAGGGAAGAACAUACGUGUAAGUAACUGUGCACGUCUUGACGGUACCUAAUCAGAAAGCCACGGCUAACUACGUG
This 497-nucleotide ribosomal RNA is filed under the name uncultured bacterium. Its description in RNAcentral is "partial 16S ribosomal RNA". It matches the Rfam family "Bacterial small subunit ribosomal RNA", at positions 28 to 507 of the family's 1533-position model. The record is from RNAcentral.